This is a long non-coding RNA of Saccostrea echinata, 429 nucleotides long. RefSeq lists it as uncharacterized. Lineage: Eukaryota; Metazoa; Mollusca; Bivalvia; Ostreida; Ostreidae. The record is from RefSeq and is a predicted model, not a curated record. The transcript has 3 exons.
CGUAUAUCCUUACAGUGUUGUCUUUUGUGUUGCUGGUCAUAACGGCCAAACACAGAGAGUACUUCUGUUGUAAGGAAAAACCACUCAGCAAUUUUGAGAAGUUUCGAAUUUGGCUGGGUUUUCUUGACAAACCAAAACCAUGCCCAGGAGAUGAGGACCUCUACACUAUGGCAAAUGAGAUGGGUGUUUCUGCUGUUGCUGCCCUCUCUGGUACAGUUAUACAGUUGUAGAACUGAUCCACAUACUUAUACAGACGCAUAAUCAAGGUCAUGAAAGGAGGCUUGCAGUACCUGAAAGAUAUAUUAUAAAGGAUAAUUGAAAUGUUCAUGUGUAUUUUUACGAGUUGAUGGUAUCAACUCAUGUUAUGUGACUUGUAAGGGAUUCCCCAAUGUAUCGAAACUAAUCACUUUUUCAUUUGAGUAUUUUGCG